AUGGAAUGGCCUCGGCAGUGGCGGCAAAAGGACAGAGACAUCAGAAGAUCUCAACUCGCAGUCCUGGCGCCAUUGUUCCUCCUUCCACGGCUUGCUGUUGAUCUUCUUGCUCCAUGCGGUGAGUGUCCAGCCACCACCAGUGUGCUCGUCAGACCGCUUGUCGACGUACUUGAUGCAACCUUGGUCGACAACGGCGAUGUCCCUGGUUAUGACGGCGUCCCACUUGCGCUCACCGAAGGCAUGCGGCAAGGGGACGUAGCGGAGCUCCGGGUCGAGGAGCACGUCGCAGAGCAGGACGCCGCGCCAGAGGUCGGCCCAGCCCACGAAACCACCGCCGAGAGUGAACACCUUGCUAGUGGAGAAGAAGACGGAGUCCAUGGCAGGGUUCAUGGCAGUGGCACCAAGCUCCAGCUUGCUCUUGGUCCAGGUGUUGGUCUCGGAGUGGAAGCGGUGGAGCUCAUACGCCAUGCCCCGUCCCCGUGUACCCUCGAGGAACGCAAUGAUGUAGGAGGAGCUGUUCGGGCUGCAGCGCAGGAGGGCGACGUCCCUGAGACCGAAGCGGCCAUGUGGGCGCGGGAGAGACGUGAGCGAGCGCGCGGCGGGCUGGUAGACGAAGUAGUCGAACAUGUCCGGCUGGGUGCACAGGGACCGGUGGCCGAUGGCGACGCCGAGCAAGAAGAGGCCAUCCGCGGCGGCGAAGAUCCUGGGCUCGAUGGCGAAGCGUGUGGGCUUGAGGCCGGGGCAGUUGACGCGGAUGUGGGAGACCAGCGGCGGGCGGGCGGCGAUCAUGGUGACCUCUAUGGCAUGGCCUCCCCUGGUGCCGGCGGCGGCGGUGGUGCCGGCGGCUAUGUAGGCGGAGACGUCGAGGAGGACCCAGCUCGGAGGAGGACCGUUGAAAAGGGGCAGCGCAGGCGGUGUCAGCGAGGCGCCGAAGAUGGCGCUCUCCGUCACGUUGACGUACUCUUCCAAGCCCUCCUCCAUGUACAUGGAUGGAUCUUCCCCUCCUUUCAAGCUAUCUACAAGACGAUUGUCCAGGUAUAUAUGAAGAGAGGAUUGCUAGCCUGA
Molecule: ribosomal RNA, 1065 nt
Filed under: Triticum aestivum (bread wheat)
Lineage: Eukaryota; Viridiplantae; Streptophyta; Magnoliopsida; Poales; Poaceae
Description: partial small subunit ribosomal RNA
Source: RNAcentral